AUCCUAAACUAAUAGGAAUCAGUUAUAUAAAUCCACUAAAUACAAGCUAAGUUAAAGGAAGAGGGUUGCAAUCGGUUGACAACUAACUUAAAGUUUCAAGUACUUACCUUCCAUGGCUGCUAUCCAAUGAGGAGGUCCGACGCGAAUCCAAGCCUAAACUCUCAUAGGUGAGGAAAAAAUCUGAUGGACAAAACGAAGAAGAAGACAUCUCUGUCGCAGGAAUCUUAGGAGGUUGUAAGCCAGGCAAUGCCCUUUUUUGUCCCUUUCCAGAAUCUUCGGUUUCCUUUUCCCCUUCACACUCCUUUGUUUUUGGUAUCGAAAGAAGCUUCUCAAAAGCCUUAACUAAAUGCAUCACUUUUCCUGAUUCAGAUACACUUUGUCUUGCUUCUUCCAACAUCCUCCUCUUUAUAGUUCCACCACUCACUUCACCCAAACCCACAUCCUCGUUUGCCCUUUCCGCCAUUUCAUCAGCCACACAACGACCACCCAAUUCAGCUAAUUCACCCAAUUCAAUGUAUUGAGUCAAUGACUGGUUACUCAUUCCUUCUCCAUUGCCAAUUUCAGGGCUAUUUACAUUAUCCAACUUCUUGAUGUCACUUUCUUCGUGUUCAUUUCCACCGCGAUUCUUGAAAAACUCUUCUUGAGAAGCCCUGAGGCUCUCAUAAGCAACACAAAGGCACUUCUUUUUCUCACCACCACCCGUCUUAUUACACUUACUACAAGCCACUGAAGGAUUAAAAUUAUCACUAUUACACUUCUUCUUGUUUGCGAUCACAAACUUCCUUUGGCGAAUUUUGUUUUUGGGAGAAGGCGAAACCAAUUGAUUUGCGUUCGGGUUUCUGGAUACUGAAUUUUGGGGUUUUUUCGCUGAUUUCGCCAUUACUAUUAGUGAUCAGGGAACAAUGACCAUUACAUAUGUCAACAGAGGGACUUCAACAACUACUAUGACUCAACCCCAAGCAAGUGGGUGUCAGCUCUACAAAUCCUCGACAACCAAGUCACUCCAUUUAAGCCCAUCUCGGUCCAAUAUUAUACUCAAUAAUUAGUUUCUCUAACAUUUUCCCCUUUCCCGAAGCAACAACCAAUCUAAGCAACUCCUUAAGUAAAUUGGUUACUGAUUAAUUGGAUUCAACAUGACAUCCUAAAUUAAAAAAGCGGAUGUUGAUGCAUCUCAAUGCUGAAGGGACACAAUUAACUAGCGGAUCAAAUAAUAGGUGCCACUAUUAGUGAUCAGGGAACAAUGACCAUUACAUAUGUCAACAGAGGGACUUCAACAACUACUAUGACUCAACCCCAAGCAAGUGGGUGUCAGCUCUACAAAUCCUCGACAACCAAGUCACUCCAUUUAAGCCCAUCUCGGUCCAAUAUUAUACUCAAUAAUUAGUUUCUCUAACACUAGAAGUUCACUACAUUUUCUACUAGCAUAUAAAUCUCUAACAAGACCAAAAAACUCCUAGCCAACAUUGGACCUAAAGUAAACGUACUAACAUGACUAAAAAUUAAUCUCAACUUAUUGUUAUCACCUAUAUAGAUUUUUUUCUUCCGUUGUGCACUAUUUAAACCCCAACAUUCUGAUUUUCUUUUAGCAAAAUAGGAUUCAAUCCAUCUUUCAGUGUCCACUCUGUGUAUAUCUAUUUGCGGUAGCAGCCAGCGCAUGUCAACCAAAUAUAUUGCAACUGAAUAUUUGGUCAUAGUCGCACAAGAAGCAAUCAAUUAACCAAGAUUAGAUCAAGCAAACACACAACUCACGAACCUCAGUUCUAAGUUUGAAGGGCUUUUGUGAGGUCGCUUUGAGCUGCCUUCUCUUCCCAUUUCUUCUAGAAAAUGUGCCUGAUGAUUCAGCGCUCUGCAGCAAUAAGAAUGAAAAUAAGAGUAUAGAGAUCAACAUGAUUUCCUCUCCAUCUAACAAUGAUUGAUAGUAAGAAUAUCCUUACAUUGUGUCUGCUCCUUCGACCACCACCUGAGGUCCUGCUUGAAAUACUGAAGCUAUGAAAAGAAAAAAAAGAUCUAUUUCCAGCACUCAAAUGAGGAAUAAAUGCACAACCAACAAGCAAAAGUUACAUCUCAAUCCUAAACUAAUAGGAAUCAGUUAUAUAAAUCCACUAAAUACAAGCUAAGUUAAAGGAAGAGGGUUGCAAUCGGUUGACAACUAACUUAAAGUUUCAAGUACUUACCUUCCAUGGCUGCUAUCCAAUGAGGAGGCACGACGCGAAUCCAAGCCUAAACUCUCAUAGGUAAGGAAAAGAUCCGAUGAACAAAACGAAGAAGAAGACAUCUCUGUGGCAGGAAUCUUAGGAGGUUGUAAGCCAGGCAAUGCCCUUUUUUGUCCCUUUCCAGAAUCUUGGGUUUCCUUUUCGCCUUCACACUCUU
This 2370-nucleotide long non-coding RNA is filed under the name Nicotiana benthamiana. RNAcentral describes it as "long non-coding RNA (NBEN_LNC020703)". The record is from RNAcentral. Lineage: Eukaryota; Viridiplantae; Streptophyta; Magnoliopsida; Solanales; Solanaceae.